UAAGGAAUAUUGGACAAUGGGCGCAAGCCUGAUCCAGCCAUCCCGCGUGCAGGAAGACGGCCCUAUGGGUUGUAAACUGCUUUUGUACAGGAAGAAACCCCUUGAUUUAUUGGGGGCUGACGGUACUGUAAGAAUAAGCACCGGCUAACUCCGUGCCAGCAGCCGCGGUAAUACGGAGGGUGCAAGCGUUAUCCGGAAUCACUGGGUUUAAAGGGUGCGUAGGUGGAUAGAUAAGUCAGAGGUGAAAGGCUUGAGCUUAACUGAAGAAUUGCCUUUGAUACUGUUUAUCUUGAAUUAGGUUGAGGUUAGCGGAAUGAGUCAUGUAGCGGUGAAAUGCAUAGAUAUGACUUAGAACACCAAUUGCGAAGGCAGCUAGCUAGGCCUAUAUUGACGCUGAGGCACGAAAGCAUGGGGAGCGAACAGGAUUAGAUACCCCCGUAGUCC
RNAcentral lists this ribosomal RNA (444 nucleotides) under uncultured prokaryote. RNAcentral describes it as "bacterial SSU rRNA". It matches the Rfam family "Bacterial small subunit ribosomal RNA", at positions 355 to 796 of the family's 1533-position model. The record is from RNAcentral.